GUCCCCGUAGUUCAGUGGAUAGAAUUGGGGUUUCCUAAACCUUAGACACAUGUUCAACUCAUGUCGGGGACA
Molecule: transfer RNA, 72 nt
Filed under: Candidatus Magasanikiibacteriota bacterium
Lineage: Bacteria; Candidatus Magasanikiibacteriota
Description: tRNA-Arg
Rfam family: tRNA
About the family: Transfer RNA (tRNA) molecules are approximately 80 nucleotides in length. Their secondary structure includes four short double-helical elements and three loops (D, anti-codon, and T loops).
Source: RNAcentral